AGAUCUCAGCAGGAACGGAUUCUCAGUGAAGUUUGCAUCUGUCCUUCCUGAUCAUUUGCCAACAAGGUGAUACCACUCCUAGCAAAUAGGCAGCCAACUUUUGGGCAUAACUGGCUAAGUAGCAGGAGGUGCAGGGUGUCUUCUAUGGGAAAAGGUCAAGAACUAAUAGUCACAGCCAGGUCCAGAUGAGUUGGAAACAAACGGAAACAGCCAACUGCAGACCAAAACUUCAACCAGUCUAAGGACCAUGUGGCACCACUUCUCAUACAUCAGUGAGAAAGAAACAAAAGGAGGAAGUGCAGGAGACACAUGGAAGGAGAUAUUGCUAAGAAUAGAGCUGGAGAUGUGCUCUUGGAAGAUGUAGUACUACAAGAGGUCUGAGGGACUGUGGAGCCAUAAUACCCCUGCAGCCUGGCAGACUAAGGCAGAGCUGACUGCUGAAAACUGUGGGAAUGGAGACUUUCUAGGGGAAAGAAAGGUAUUGAACUGAAGUUGAGGCUGUAGAGGGGAGAGGAAAACUGUUAGCUUAGGUGACCGUAAGUUGUAUGUCUAUUUUUCCUCAGUACUCAGUUCAGUAGUUAAAAGAUUAUGUUAACUGGCAAUAAAUCAAAUAAAGUGAAAUUCCCCAAGUCAAGGAUGUUUUGUCCAGGACAGUAAUGGAAAUGGAAAUGUAAUCUAUAUAUAUUAAGUUCACUAUCUUCUUUUGCAUGUUGACUAAGCCAUAUUAAAUUUGCAAAACGUCUUUAGAUAUAUUUCUUCAUUGUGGUAUUCUCUAAACUGUUUGGACUGAUGAUGGUUUCUGGAAGUACUUUUUCUUUUUUCCUCUGGUUUGUAAAAUGACCAUGUAAGAAUUUAUAGAAGAUAUAUGUAUACAAAUAGGUAUGGUUAGUGGAACAUUUGAACAUGCUUUGCUGAACUUGAGUGUCUUUCACAGUUUAAAGACCAGAACUAUAGCCUGUGUGCCUUGACUGCCUAAGUUCACUGGGAACACAAUGCUUGGACAGGCAAAUGCAAGUCAGGGAACUGAAACAGAAAACGUUAUCCUGAGCUGUCAAUCCAGCCUGUCUUUAGGUUUCCUCUUUCAGAGGCUGAAUGGAUAGCUAACCUCUGUUAACUGCUUCAAAUUUCCCGUUAGAUUCCAGGUUAUUAAAAGAAACUGUAGAGGAUUUUUAGAUUACCUUAGCAGAGACAGGGAGUAGUGACAAUUAAGCUAGAUGAUAAAUUUACCAGCCAGAAGGUGGCUGGUAAACCAGUGACAUGUGGCUAAACAAUUGCUACUGAAAAACAACAGGUUCAUGGGGAAAGAAAGGUGAUUU
Molecule: long non-coding RNA, 1316 nt
Organism: Anas platyrhynchos (mallard)
Lineage: Eukaryota; Metazoa; Chordata; Aves; Anseriformes; Anatidae
Source: RefSeq, a predicted model, not a curated record